CCUCCAAAAACCGUUACGGACUGUUUAUUUAUUUUAACCUCCGCGCCUUCUCCUCCACACGCAUGCGUUUCUCUUCCUCUACACUCGGCCAUCCUACAUCAGCACCCGGCGCAGUGACCCUUCUUGGUCACCGGCAGAGGGUGCUCCCUCCACCCGACCAUCUGGGCUGUCUUCCGUCUCGUCGGCAUCGUCAAAGAAUUCCCAUCUUUUCAGUUGGUCGCUCGGUGCUGUUACCACAUAUCUUGGAGGGUCCUCUAAGCUGGAAAUUUCAUACAGAUCAGACGAGAACUGACGAGAAAUCAGAAAUGGUCACUUAUAUAGGG
This 323-nucleotide long non-coding RNA is filed under the name Androctonus crassicauda. Lineage: Eukaryota; Metazoa; Arthropoda; Arachnida; Scorpiones; Buthidae. The record is from RNAcentral.